Molecule: long non-coding RNA, 226 nt
Filed under: Olea europaea (common olive)
Lineage: Eukaryota; Viridiplantae; Streptophyta; Magnoliopsida; Lamiales; Oleaceae
Description: long non-coding RNA (OEUR_LNC006624)
Source: RNAcentral
AAAGAAAAAAUAUAGGCCAGGCGUAAGCGUAAAUCGAUAUGUUGAAAUAAAAAAUACGAAGCACCGAUGAUAUAGAAAUAAUGAAUCCUAAUGUAAAUAGAGUUCAGGUUCGAAUUCGACAGAAUAUUUUCUAUAAUAUAGAUGGGAUUGUCUAUCAUUAUAGACAAAUGAAAAACUUUCUCAAGAUUCUUAUUCAUCCACUUGAAAUUUUCAAGUUCAACCAAGC